CUGUUCUUUACAAAGUGAUCUAGUUUCACUGUUUGUAUUUGCUGUUCCAAAGCUCACAUUUUAUUGGGCAGAUGCCUUCAUCCCUGCAAAGUUUCAGGAGAAUACCUGUAAAUUACGGGCCUAAAUCAAUUUUUUGUAGAGAUCACGGGCUACAGGUGUUUGGGCUGCACAUAUUGUAGUUUGAGCUCUGUACAUAUUUCAAACUCAGUGUUUCUGCCUGUUAAAAAUCUUCUAACAUCCCCAUUUGCAUACAUUAAAACACAUCCUUGAGGUGAUAUGAUGUCAUUUCCAUGCUAGUGGCCCUUCAGCAAGUGUUGCCAUGGCAACCCUCCCUGUUAUUCGUGGUCCAACAGCCAACUCGCUUCUUUAGUCCAGCCUUCUCUCUCUCUGGUCCUCCAUCUCUUUCAUUUUCCCAAGCUCUGCUCAUCAAAAGACACUGCAAUAACACAUUCCAGGCUGCAACAAAGUAUCUGCAAGACACAAAGUGCAUACAUCCUCCCGUCAUGCCGGAAGUAACCCACCUUGCCUCCAUGAAGCCACAGCUGCCCACAGUGAUUCCCAGUUUCAGUACUAUCCCAUCGACCCACAGUGUCCUUGCCACCACCAUGCUGCUCCCAUGGGAGGACUUGCACAUGCAAGUGCACACCAUUCUGAUCGUGGUUAUUUUCUGUGUGGUCUGCUUACUGCUCCUGCUGGCCUUCUUAUAUGCUUUCUGCUUCCAUUGCUCCAUCAGCUCAUCACCUAAAGACUCCCAUAGAGCCAAUGGAUGCAGCCUAGACCGUGAGGACGCCACCUUUAAGUGCAGUUCAUCUGAUAACCAGUCAGUGGGGAACGUUGUCUGACUGGGACACCAAUCCAGGAUAAUUGAUAUUUUGAUUGUCUAUCAGUGUAUUUAUGGAUUAUGCUGUUAUUGGUUUAGUGGCAUGUAUGGAUGUGUGUUGCCGUACUGAAAAGCAGAUUGUAAUAACAGCUUGCUUAAACCAAAGUCUGAGCUUUGAUAUUUUCGUUCUACUCCCAAUUAAUUACAUAUUCAUUUGUGCCUGAUAUUGAGUUUUGCAGGCACACAUGACAAUCACAAGAAUACAUUUAUCAUUCAUGUUAAAGCUUAAUACAACGACUGUUUACCAGGUUUCCUCCUAACAUCACUGGAGUUUAAGUAAGAUGCAGGUACACAUGUUGUGCAAGUCAGAUCUGAGCACACAGAUACACAAUAAAAACAUAUCCAUAUAUACAUAUCCACAGAGAAAUGUGUUCAAUAAAAAAUUUUUAAA
Molecule: long non-coding RNA, 1271 nt
Organism: Seriola aureovittata
Lineage: Eukaryota; Metazoa; Chordata; Actinopteri; Carangiformes; Carangidae
Exons: 2
Source: RefSeq, a predicted model, not a curated record